UACGUAGGUGGCGAGCGUUAUUCGGAUUUAUUGGGCGUAAAGGGUCCGCAGGGGGUUCGGCAAGUCUGGUGUGAAAGCCCGCGGCUCAACCGCGGAACGGCACUGGAAACUGCCGAACUAGAGUUCUGGAGAGGAGCGCGGAAUUCCCGGUGUAGCGGUGGAAUGCGUAGAUAUCGGGAGGAACGCCAAAGGCGAAGGCAGCGCUCUGGACAGAUACUGACCCUCAUGGACGAAAGCCGGGGGAGCAAACAGG
RNAcentral lists this ribosomal RNA (253 nucleotides) under uncultured bacterium. Its description in RNAcentral is "partial 16S ribosomal RNA". It matches the Rfam family "Bacterial small subunit ribosomal RNA", at positions 524 to 776 of the family's 1533-position model. The record is from RNAcentral.